UUCUGGGGCCGAGGCCCCAAGUGCAACGCCACCUCCUCCAGCCCCAGCCAGCAUGGCUGGGUAGGCCUCUCCGGGACAGGAGGCGGCGAGGAGACAGGAGGCCUCCCUGGGCCUGGGGUGCAGCCACGUGGGGCUGAGACCCUAAGGAUCCAGCAGGGCAGUAGAUGAGGAACAACAUGAAUUUGUUUUCUAAAAAAUGUAUUUAUUUUUGGGGGUUUAGUUUGUCAUGCCCUCCAUUUUUCUUGAAUGUCCUACAUUUUGGUCUUUGGUCAGUGAAGGGCCUUCCAGGCCAGCACUGGUUGCCAAGUAAACAUGCGGCCAGCAGCAGCAGGUGGCAGCAGUGCCACACCAAUACUAGGCAUUUGUCUAUCUUGAAGAGAGUGAGAGAGGGAGAUGAGAUUUGUGAAUAUAGAGACAUGCAGUUUAAUCCUGUGCAUUUUACCCUAGAGGUACAUGCACCUUUGCUCUUAAGAUUUAAGUAGAGGUGGGAAUCAUGUGGCUCUCCAGAUACUGUUGGGCUAUAAACUCCAGAGGUCUUGCCAGCGCAGCCAAGGCUAAAGAAUGCUGAAGGUUGUACACAACAACCUCUGGAGGGCUGCAUAAUUCCCAGCCUGUUCUAAACAAAAUGCUGUAUCCUGCAUUGGCCAUGCCACCCAAGCAUCAUGUAAAGUAGUUUUCUAAGUGUAAGAAAUAAUAAGUUCUGUUAAUUUAAUUUCCUUUUCCCUUUUUGUUCCCUUUUCCUUUGUGUCUAUGACACCUGGAAUGAAUAAUUUCUUUGCCAACAAGAUGCCACAUGCCAAUAGGCCUGGCCUCAGUUGGUGGUGGGGACAGUCGUCUUCAAGCACACAUGCAUAUACACUCACUAGCGCACACACAGAGACCCUUCCCUGUUUGCGCACAUUCUUCAUUGUUCUUUUCCUCCUUCAUCCUUACACAUUCACUGACUUCUCCAGGUGCACUUGUAUUCACCAUAUGAAUUGUGCGUUCUUUCAACAGAUGGUUGGCAGGCUGUGUAGAAUGUAAUUGCCAUGGCAAGAUGGCACAAGGAUACCUGCUCCAGGCACUCACCUCCCAUACUACACAUUUGUUUAUUUCCAAACUGCCUAACAGCAGUCGGGUGUGGAAGCUCUACGUUUUUAUGGCAAAUGGAUUUUCCCUCCUUCAGACCCAUGUUUGAAAGGCAUUGCCAGGUUGUUAAACCUUAUUUGCAUUAAUGCUUAACCGAAGACAAGAAUGCUUAUGGUUAUUAACUAUUAUAGGAUGUAAGGCUUCUCCUUGGACUCACAGAAUUCUGUAGCAUUACAGAGUCUACAGUAAAUGGAGAAUUUUUCUUACAAAUACUGGCUCGGAGGUAUUAGAAUCUUACCCGUCCCUGGGAGCUACUUAUACCUGAGACCAACGUUUGAAAGCAGUACGUCAGGAAGGAAGAGCCAGUGUGGAGUAGUGGCUAGAGCAUUGGACUAUGACUCUGACGACCAGGAUCUGAAUCUCCACUCUGCUCACAGAAAUACACUGGGUGGCCUUGGACAAGUCACACUCUCUCAGCCUCAGAAGGCAAAUACAACCCCCCUCUAAACAAAUCUUGUCAAGAAAACCCCAUGAUAGGGUUGCCAUACAUCAGAAAUGACUUGAAGGCACACAGCAACAACAUCAGGAAGGACUUACAGUUUCAUCUACCCAAGUUCCAAAAGGAGAUGAAAUAAAAUACAGCCAUAUUUGUCUGUCUCCAAAACCAACAUUUUUAAACAAAACAAAACAAAACCAACAACACAAAUCUGUCAUCUACACCCAGUUGCUUUGCCAUGCAAAUCUGGACGUAGUGAGCCUGUUAAGUUGAAUGAGGUUUCCAGAUUAGUUUAUAUACUGGACAAUAUAUACAACUGCAGCCUAUAUAGCCAUGUAUAGAAAGCUGAAAGAUAAUAACAUGGAUAAUUCUGACUUUUGUAUUUAAUGAUAUAUCUUUGGACUUGAGGAUCUUCUUUAGUUCCUUCCCAGCUGUCUUUUGUAGUCUUUUUUUUUUAACAGCCAUCAAGUCAACUUUGGCUUAUGGUGACCCUAUGAAUGAGAGACCUCCAAGUCACCCUGGGCCUAAGCAGACAGGCAGGAUUGCAUGGGCCAAGCACAUGCUGUCUUGCCCCUGGUUCUGACCUGGGUCAGUCCUGCCCAAUGCCAUGACAUGGAAUCACUGCCGCCACAUGCCUCAUACCUGCCUCUGCUGUCAUGUAUUCUCAGAGGUCGCUUGUUGCAGCCUGUAAGGGUGGAAAUUGGGUGUCUGGCUAUACCUGUGUGGCCAGGUGCCAACAUCAGAGGCCGUGACAAAGGGUCUUCUGAAAAGACGUGACUGUGGAGGUUGGUGUGGGGUGCAUGGGGCCAUGCAGUGUGCUAGUUGUCGCUGUAAGACGCUGUAAAGGAAAUUCCACAGCAAACAGCAGGUCUAUAUGUCCUGAGUUAAGGCCCCUUUGGGCUGGGAUCGGUCUGGAACCUCCAGAUCUGGCUGAUGAUGGCCUGGGGCUAUAGUGCGCUCGUCUGUACAGACCUUAUAUGGACCCCCUGUUAUCAACAGACCUACUCAGCUCUUGCAGACUCAGAACUGUGGCUUCCUUGAUUGAGUUUAUCAACUUGUAACAGCGUCUUCUUCUUUUCCCAGUGCCUUCUCCCUUGCCAAGUAAUACCAUUUUUUAAAAUGAAUCAUGUUCUCCCAUAUGUCCAAAGUACAACAGUCUCACUUUAGCCACCUUGGCUUCUGGAAAGAGUUUAGACUUGAUUUGUUCAAGGUCCCGUUGGUUUGUCUUUUUGUCAGUUCAGAUAUCCACAGAACUCUCCUCUGGCUCCACAUUUCAAAUGAGUUGAUCCUCUUCCUAUUAGUUUUCCUCGCUACACAGCUUUCACAAUCACACACAUAAAGUGGAAAUAUAAUCCUGUCUUUUAGAAUUCAAUGAUAUAUCUUUAAACUUAAGGUUCUUGUCUAGUUCCUUCAUAGCUACCCUUCCAAGACCUAGUCCUCUUCCAAUUUCUUGACUGCAGGCUCCAUUUUUGUUGUUGUUGUUGUUGUGGUCUCCUGUUUCUCUUCAUUGACUUAAAGCAGUUCUCUUUGUUCCUGAACAUGUCUUUUUG
Sceloporus undulatus (fence lizard) is the source of this 3114-nucleotide long non-coding RNA. RefSeq lists it as uncharacterized. The transcript is spliced from 3 exons. The record is from RefSeq and is a predicted model, not a curated record. NCBI's taxonomy places the organism in Eukaryota, Metazoa, Chordata, Lepidosauria, Squamata, Phrynosomatidae.